GAUGAACGCUGGCGGCGUGCCUAAUACAUGCAAGUCGAGCGAACGGACGAGAAGCUUGCUUCUCUGAUGUUAGCGGCGGACGGGUGAGUAACACGUGGAUAACCUACCUAUAAGACUGGGAUAACUUCGGGAAACCGGAGCUAAUACCGGAUAAUAUUUUGAACCGCAUGGUUCAAAAGUGAAAGACGGUCUUGCUGUCACUUAUAGAUGGAUCCGCGCUGCAUUAGCUAGUUGGUAAGGUAACGGCUUACCAAGGCAACGAUGCAUAGCCUACCUGAGAGGGUGAUCGGCCACACUGGAACUGAGACGCGGUCCAGACUCCUACGGGAGGCAGCAGUAGGGAAUCUUCCGCAAUGGGCGAAAGCCUGACGGAGCAACGCCGCGUGAGUGAUGAAGGUCUUCGGAUCGUAAAACUCUGUUAUUAGGGAAGAACAUAUGUGUAAGUAACUAUGCACAUCUUGACGGUACCUAAUCAGAAAGCCACGGCUAACUACGUG
RNAcentral lists this ribosomal RNA (497 nucleotides) under uncultured bacterium. RNAcentral's name for it is "partial 16S ribosomal RNA". It matches the Rfam family "Bacterial small subunit ribosomal RNA", at positions 28 to 507 of the family's 1533-position model. The record is from RNAcentral.